GGGGGCGACUGGCUUCGACGUAUGUCGCGAAACCAUCGGAGCAUGCCGAGGUGCAGAGUUCCUCGCAAAUCCAACUGCAAAUUGAUAGUUGCCAACGACGACAACUACGCACUAGCGGCUUAAGCCCGCUAGCCUCUCGGCUCUGUUUGCUCAUGGGUGGGGAUUUCGAGGGGUCAAAUUACAUGAGAUCGCAACGCAUUUUGUCUGCGCAAUGCAUUGUUAAAACCUUAGUGGACUCGCUGGUUACAUCCCUGUCUGUCGGGAAGUAAACAGCUAAAUUAAAGAUAGACUAAGCAUGUAGGGCCGAUGCGCGGAGGGCUUGCGGACGCGGGUUCAAUUCCCGCCGCCUCCACCA
RNAcentral lists this transfer-messenger RNA (355 nucleotides) under Gammaproteobacteria bacterium. It matches the Rfam family "transfer-messenger RNA". Rfam says of the family: Bacterial tmRNA, also known as 10Sa RNA or SsrA, is named for its dual tRNA and mRNA-like properties. The record is from RNAcentral. Lineage: Bacteria; Pseudomonadati; Pseudomonadota; Gammaproteobacteria.